RNAcentral lists this long non-coding RNA (901 nucleotides) under Canis lupus familiaris (dog). RNAcentral describes it as "lncRNA (ENSCAFG00805019509.1, ENSCAFG00845022030.1)". Lineage: Eukaryota; Metazoa; Chordata; Mammalia; Carnivora; Canidae. The record is from RNAcentral.
ACUAGAAUCUCAGUUUUUAAGUUCUAUUUCAAUAUUAUUUUAAAACUUACGUUCAUAGAUAACCUUGAGUUUGUAACUAGAAGCUGGCCAUACAAGUUUCAGGUUGCAGUAGUUUCUAAGGAAACCACCACAUUUAAACUUGAGCUCAAAUUAAAUAAAAUGGGAUUUAAUGGAGGCUCUUUCCUCAUCUUUGAAAAAUACAAGAUGAUGGAGAAAUUUAUCAAAGAAAAGUAGUCUGUAUCAUGUUUUUGUGAAGUGAUUCAUUUAAGUGGUAAUACACUUUUUUAAAAUUUGAACUAUUGGAAUUUAGGGGUCUGAUAGAAUUCUGGAACUUUCCUAAAGGACAAAUGAGAGAUAUACUUUUAAUUAGUUGAUUCUUUUUUUCGUGCUGUGGGAGUGACUUACUUAUAACUGUAGGGGAGAAAACUAUCAAGUGGCCAGUUGCCAGAAGGGCCAGUUACCAGAAGGACUUUGAAGACUGGGAGGGAGCAGUCUCCAAGUCAAUUUCUUCUGAAACCUGGCAGCUGCCCUGGGAGGACUCAAGAAUUCAGAAUGUUCCAAAGGAAUUUUCUCUUCAAGGCUGGAGACCAAUUUCAUCUCCAGCAUUAGCGGCCAGUUUGAUAAACAGUUUGAGAUCAACUAAGAAUAAAGGAUAAAGUUAAUGGUUAAUCUUCCUGACAGAGUUGCCUAGAAAAUGGAAGCUGAGCUAUCUCAAAUCUGGGAACCAUACCACUGAAACAUGCUUGUAUGCCUACGUCUUCUGGCUCUAAGCACUUCUGCCCUUCUAUUGAGAAGGACUAGCCUCCACUGCCUGUUCUCUGGACAACCUUGUGUCCUCAAAAGCUGUCUGGAGCAAGCCCCACUUCCCAGGAUCACGUACCAGAGCAGCAGGACUCAUUAG